GAGUUUAAGCAUAUCAAUA
This 19-nucleotide small nuclear RNA is filed under the name Arabidopsis thaliana (thale cress). Its description in RNAcentral is "snRNA_01870". Lineage: Eukaryota; Viridiplantae; Streptophyta; Magnoliopsida; Brassicales; Brassicaceae. The record is from RNAcentral.